GGGCAGUCGCACGAGCGCACCCUUAUCCUUAGUUGCCAUCAAGUAAAGCUGGGCACUCUAAGGAGACUGCCGGUGAUAAAUGGGAGGAAGGUGGGGAUGACGUCAAAUCAUCAUGCCCUUUAUGUCCUGGGCUACACACGUGCUACAAUGGUCGGUACAACGGGAAGCUAACACGCGAUGUGGAGCAAAUCCCAAAAACCCGUUCCCAGUUCGGAUUGCAGGCUGCAACUCGCCUGCUUGAACUCGGAUUCGCUAGUAAUCGCGAAUCACAACGCCGCGGUGAAUACG
RNAcentral lists this ribosomal RNA (288 nucleotides) under uncultured bacterium. Its description in RNAcentral is "partial 16S ribosomal RNA". It matches the Rfam family "Bacterial small subunit ribosomal RNA", at positions 1079 to 1370 of the family's 1533-position model. The record is from RNAcentral.